This 269-nucleotide ribosomal RNA is filed under the name uncultured Actinomycetes bacterium. Its description in RNAcentral is "uncultured actinobacterium partial 16S ribosomal RNA". It matches the Rfam family "Bacterial small subunit ribosomal RNA", at positions 250 to 523 of the family's 1533-position model. The record is from RNAcentral. Lineage: Bacteria; Bacillati; Actinomycetota; Actinomycetes.
UGGUCGGUCGGCCUACCAGGCAUUGACGGGUAGCUGGUCUGAGAGGAUGGCCAGCCACAUUGGGACUGAGAUACGGCCCAGACUCCUACGGGAGGCAGCAGUGGGGAAUAUUGCGCAAUGGCCGAAAGGCUGACGCAGCGACGCCGCGUGGGGGAUGAAGCAUUUCGGUGUGUAAACCCCUGUUGCUCGGGACGAACAACUGGUUUCGACCAGUCUGACGGUACCGGGUGAGGAAGCACCGGCUAACUACGUGCCAGCAGCCGCGGCCG